AUACGAAGGGGGCUAGCGUUGCUCGGAAUUACUGGGCGUAAAGCGCACGUAGGCGGAUAUUUAAGUCAGGGGUGAAAUCCCAGAGCUCAACUCUGGAACUGCCUUUGAUACUGGGUAUCUCGAGUAUGGAAGAGGUGAGUGGAAUUCCGAGUGUAGAGGUGAAAUUCGUAGAUAUUCGGAGGAACACCAGUGGCGAAGGCGGCUCACUGGUCCAUUACUGACGCUGAGGUGCGAAAGCGUGGGGAGCAAACA
Molecule: ribosomal RNA, 252 nt
Filed under: uncultured prokaryote
Description: partial 16S ribosomal RNA
Rfam family: Bacterial small subunit ribosomal RNA
Source: RNAcentral